Long non-coding RNA from Haplochromis burtoni (Burton's mouthbrooder), 3791 nucleotides. RefSeq lists it as uncharacterized. The transcript is spliced from 5 exons. NCBI's taxonomy places the organism in Eukaryota, Metazoa, Chordata, Actinopteri, Cichliformes, Cichlidae. The record is from RefSeq and is a predicted model, not a curated record.
AGCCCGCCUACCAAUAGAAGAAUUGCUCAGAUUUUUCCUUCUAAAACACUUUUUUCUUGCCCUUCACGUUGACAGACACCUCAGGCAGCCAAAGAGCGUAAAGCUGUGAGGAGCGUGGAUGAGAAGAGCGGCGUUGAUCCCACAGCCCGGGGAAGGAUGGCGCCAGAGUGCACGGAGCCUGCUGCAGUUUGUCUUCAUGUCCCUGGCAGCUCUCACAAAUCAAUCAAGAUCUCCUUAAUGCGUGGAACUUUAAAGUUAGUGUCUUCAUAAUUCCAAAGACGUGAAAUAACUGUCAACAAGUGACAGAUUGUUAGACGGGUUUGAAAAAAAAAAUGCUGCCACUUCUUUAUAAAGUAUAUUUUUCUUCUAGUAAACGAAAAAAUAUAAAUAUGACCAAAAGUGAGUCAGACUAUUUCUGCUCCCGAGGAUUGAAACGAGACUUAAACUCUGAGGUGCUGAUGUGGGAGUGCAGUGAACCAUCACCCGAUUUGUUAAUUAUAAUAUUCACAAACCGGUAUUCUAUAGAGAGGUAUUUAAAAUAACAAAAAGACGUUAGAAUAAAGUUUAAAAAGUUAUCUGUUAAACAAGUAGACUUUGUCAUACUCUCAAAUACGUCGUAUCAGUUUUAGACCUAAAUAAACAUGAAAUUUCUAUAUUAAUAGCAACUAAAGAAAUCUUUUAAUUGUUUUGCGAAGUAUGUGUUGAGCUGAACUGGAUUAUGCAUGUGAUGACAAAGAUUAUGAAUAUCUAAAUGAGUGGCGAGGAAGCAGCUGCAGGAGCGCACAGAUUGGCAAACAAUCUCAAGGUGUGCAGCCGCUUCAUGGGGAAAUAAGGUGGUCGUGUGCGCAGUGGAGUGUGCGGGACAAAGAGCGGAGAAGAAGGAAAGUCUGGCAGGCGACAUCGAAGAAGAAAAACGGCUCCAAUCAGCACACCGGUGUCACGUCUCAUUUUGGAAAGCUGCUCCUCAAAAACUUCAUCACUGGCCUCCUAAGAUUCACUGCGGACGCUGGCUGACCUCAGCGAGUGACCUCUCCAAUCAUAGAUCAAAGCCGUCUGCUUCCCAGCUAGUCGGGUUAAUCAGAGGACCACCCUGAAGAGCCAAUCAGGUAAUUUAAUAAAUUCCCAGAGCUCUGGGUGGAAUUAGAAGAAGCUAGACUUUGGUCAGAGGAGAGCUUUUAAGAAAGCUGGGAUCGUACAUCAGAGGCCCAGCAGUCGAUGGUAAUGUAAUGAACGUUUACAUUUACCUGCUUCUCACCUUUCCUGUUGGUAUAUACCCACAAUCUAAACUGCACUUGUCAAAGCAUCAGCCCAGUUUGUUUUCAUAAAUAUGCUGUAUCUCUUUUUUUCCAUCUCUCUCCUCCAUGCUCCUGCUCGAAAAAUUAGAUAUUUGGUGUUUUAGUGAAGGGCUUGAGGUGUGGUUAGCGUACGCACGCGUGUGUGUGUGUGCAAGCAUGUUGGGGUUGGGGUUGCAGAGAGCUGCUCACGAUGCCAGAACUAGCACUUCUGGUUGGAAAAAAGGAGUCUGAGUUUUCGUCAGACGUGUAGGGAAGACAGACAGGGCGAGGGAAAGGCUUUUUGAAAGUGCAGUCCAAAAGCAACAGAAAACACUCCCUCUUGACCAUGUGGUCAAAAAUGGGUGUAGAGGGAGAGGCGGCAUCUGGCGUGAUGCCUGGAAUGAAAAGAAGCAAAUAUACCCUCCUCGUCCUGCAGUGUGCACCUUAUAUUGCCAGCUACAAACCGUGUGUAGGCGAAGAGAGACAGGAAGGUAGAGGGAGAAACAGGUAGAGUCAAGAGCAAGACGCAGACAGACAGAUAAAAAGCGGAUCAGCAAGAAAGACAGACAGACAGAUUCACAUAUAAAAGCGCCAGGAAGGAGUAUACUGAGAAGCGUGGAGGCAUAUCAUGAACAAGGUCAGAAAGACAUCGCUUGGCAGAACAGGAAAUGAUACAGGAUAUAUCUUCUCUCUCUCACUCGCUCUCUGUGCUCUCCAAGGCCUGUGCUGUAAGUGACAGUGCUGCAGAGGGAAGUUGACAUUGCUGAAGUAUGAAUUUCACCCAUUUGUGUUUUGCGGAAAACACGGAAUCGAGGCUGUCUGUCUGGAUCAGGGGCUAGGCCCUUGACCUUUUAAUGACCCCUUCUGAGCAGACGGCAGGAUUUUAUUGGCCAGUCAGAUUCAAUUUAUUAAACACUAUGCAACUCUAUUCGAAACUUCUUAGUUAUUCUUUCCAAAUGUGGUUGUGAUAUCCAUUUGGAAAUGGAUGUGAAAGAUGUUCAGCAUCUUUUAUGACCACUUUUGGACCUCUUACUUUACUUUACGUGCUUUGCUUACUGCUUUUUUAGAUAAACCAGCGUGGUCAUGUAUUUAAAAAUAAAGGAUAUUUUUAAAUACUGUAUAUAUCAUUAAUCAGCCUGAAAUGCUUUUUUAAGCCCAGCACAAAUCCAACACGUGGCCAGAGAGUCAAAACAGAGCAAAGGUGAGAUUACUUGGAAAUAAUUGGAAAUAAAUCAAUACAAGAGCAAGCUUCACAUCAAUGUUUUUUAACCAUGCGAGGCAAAAACUGCUCUAAAUAUUACGUUGAAAUAAAUGACUCAUGCAGCAGAACCCAGGCAAUAAGAGGCCUUAAUCUGGAGCCCAAAUAAAAAGCACUAACAUAUCUGCAUACACAUGUAUAUUGACACACAUGCACGGGCAGAACAGUGGGUAAUACAAUACACACAGCUAUGGAGUGGUGGGGUAAAGUGAGACCUUCCUGUAAUCAAAAGAAACAGUGUGCUAUAAUAAAGCCCAUUUUGAAACGGUCUAUGGCCUGAGGGAUCAAUCCUUCUGUUGGAAUGAGGAAGAGAAAAUGGACACUAAGCUGUGUCUCACAAAAAGAACAGAAUAGAAUAAAGUAGAAUAGAGCGCUACAGAAGUGGAUGAUUGUACCGUCUUAAUAACACUAUGUUUUGUUGACUUGAGAUCUCGUUUCUGUUCUUCCUUUGUCCUCUUUUACCUUCUUCCCUCUUCUUUUGUGGCAUCUUCUCUCCUGAUGUUGCAGGUUGCACUUCGUUUGCGAGUCUCUUGGGCAACAUCCAUCAGCUGAAUGGAUAGAGGCUGUGCAACAGCAGCGCUACAGCAAAAAGAGGGCAGAGGGUAUUACCUUUCCAAAAACCACAGAAACACCAGUCUGGAAUCAAUCUGGGGACAGGACUUUGUAAGGCGACUACUUUCCACAUCGGGGGGCCAAUCAGGAACAGAUGGAAAAGGUGAUGACCCCCCCCGGCAUGCGAGAGCAACAGCGAAACUGCCACUCAAAAUCCCAGCAUGUGGACAUGUGUGAGUGGAGAUUUGUGUGUCAGAGGACGAUGGGAGGUUGUGUUAUGGCUCUGAGGGUGCUACAGCAAGAGGGGUCCCCAUACGAAUAGAUCAGUUGUCAAGGCCGUGGGCAGGACAGCGCGGUGAAGCACAGCGUCUGCCUUUUGGCCUUCGGCUUGCGUGACACACAUUCCCUGCCAUUCUUGCCUAACACAUCAGCAUGCAGUCUGCUUAUCAAUCAGUCAGUCAGCUCCUUCAUUCCAACCCCCAGCUGCUGUUUCUUGUCGCGCUGGAGGUGAUGAUACAUGCGCAACAUUUUAGGGCAAUGCAGCUCAACUUUGCUGCCAACAGUUAUACUGAUGAUAUCUGAAGGGAUUUAAAAAAAUGAUGUGCAUGUCGGUUUGAGUAAAAAUUGCAACUUGGAAUGUACAUUAACUCUAGUUAACACUUUUUUUUAUAUACACCUCUGUGUGGCAUUUUGGUGUAAAGAAAAAC